This is a long non-coding RNA of Hemicordylus capensis (graceful crag lizard), 982 nucleotides long. RefSeq lists it as uncharacterized. Lineage: Eukaryota; Metazoa; Chordata; Lepidosauria; Squamata; Cordylidae. The record is from RefSeq and is a predicted model, not a curated record. The transcript has 2 exons.
AAUGGCCACCACACUGAUCGUUGUAGGCCCAAACAGGCCUGAAAAUUAGCCUGAGACAGGCUGUGGCAGUGAUCUAAGAGGGGGGAAAUUCACAGACACCACCACCCCAUGGCCCUUAGGAAGCCACCCAAAGGGGCUAUAGGUAAUUUUUUUAAAAAAAUUAAAAAUCCGUGAAUUGGAGAGGGGUGGCCCUGGUGCCCCCCCCCCCAGUGGUGUCUAGGGCAUGUGCCCUGGCUGCCCUCCCCUAGUUUCUCCUAUGCCAAACACUGCCAGGAAUGUGUUUUUGUUCAUAGCCCAGAAACACUCCCAUAAUUCCUUGGAUCUUAAAAAAAACAAAAAAAAACUGCUGAUUGUGAAUAUCUCUCUACAAUGUACAGGCUAGAAAUGCAAUCUGUUUUUGAAAUGAAACAUAAGCUUCUGGCUAAUUUGUGUCAUAUAAACAAGUAUGCACAAGAUUCCACAUACAUUUAUACAUCUUUGCACAAGGCCAGAAGAUGGACAGCGAGUGACUCACAAGGGUUGCAUAUGUGCAUAGCACUACACAGCCAUGUACAUACCACUAACUGGAUGAGAAAUGCACAUACAAACCAAUCCUGCAUAUGUGGUUCGAGGCAAAUCUGCAGUCACACAUAGACCCAGUCAGAAAAACAGGAACUGGAUCAGCUGUUUGGAAAGGGAUACAUUCUUUGAACUGGCUACUGAUCAGAUCUGUGACAGAUGGUGCAUAUAUUCCCUUUCUGAGAAAACAUCUGGUGAGGCUGAUCUUAACUUAUUCACCAAGUGGAGCUUUGAGGCCUAGUCCUGAAGCCAUCCUUCCAGAAAUUUGCACUUAAAGAGAUACAUCAGAGGUUGUCCUACUUCUUGCUAACAUUCUGUUCACUCAUUUGAUGUCUUCCAAUUACAGUUGUAUUGACUUGCCAUAUCUGAGAAUGAUUCUGAAGUGCUAAUUUUACUUUUGCAGUAAAGUUAUUGCCCACUUUGA